RNAcentral lists this ribosomal RNA (496 nucleotides) under uncultured bacterium. RNAcentral describes it as "partial 16S ribosomal RNA". It matches the Rfam family "Bacterial small subunit ribosomal RNA", at positions 28 to 507 of the family's 1533-position model. The record is from RNAcentral.
GAUGAACGCUGGCGGCGUGCCUAAUACAUGCCAGUCGAGCGAACAGACGAGGAGCUUGCUCCUCUGACGUUAGCGGCGGACGGGUGAGUAACACGUGGAUAACCUACCUAUAAGACUGGGAUAACUUCGGGAAACCGGAGCUAAUACCGGAUAAUAUAUUGAACCGCAUGGUUAAUAGUGAAAGACGGUUUUGCUGUCACUUAUAGAUGGAUCCGCGCCGCAUUAGCUAGUUGGUAAGGUAACGGCUUACCAAGGCAACGAUGCGUAGCCGACCUGAGAGGGUGAUCGGCCACACUGGAACUGAGACACGGUCCAGACUCCUACGGGAGGCAGCAGUAGGGAAUCUUCCGCAAUGGGCGAAAGCCUGACGGAGCAACGCCGCGUGAGUGAUGAAGGUCUUCGGAUCGUAAAACUCUGUUAUUAGGGAAGAACAAAUGUGUAAGUAACUAUGCACGUCUUGACGGUACCUAAUCAGAAAGCCACGGCUAACUACGUG